Canis lupus familiaris (dog) is the source of this 908-nucleotide long non-coding RNA. RefSeq lists it as uncharacterized. Lineage: Eukaryota; Metazoa; Chordata; Mammalia; Carnivora; Canidae. The transcript is spliced from 4 exons. The record is from RefSeq and is a predicted model, not a curated record.
CACGUGAGGUUUCAAGAAAUGCUCGGCCUUCAAAUUCCUGCCUUGUUACAAGUUACAAAACGCUUGGUUGUCACAUUGCGGUCCCUCCGGAGUGGGUGAGGACUGGGUCUGAAAACACACCAUCGGGAUGGAACAAACCUACUUCUAAUGAGGUCAGGAAAGAAUAAGGAUUAAGAGAAAUUGACCAGAGUGGAUGAGGGCAGCACCAAUCAGAUUUCCAGGAGCAGAAGAUUGUGAAUGUGACCCUUCAUUAAAAAAGAUGUUGGCUCUGACAAAGCUUCAGGCCCCAGAGAAGCAAUAUACCAUGCUGUGGACUGCCUGUGGAGAGAGAAUUGUGGGCACCUGUAGCGGCUAAGGGCAACCUCUGGCCAACACCCAUCGAGGAAUUCUGCUAACCUGUGCAAGCUUGGAAGUGAAGUCCUCCUCCACUCAACUUCCAGAUGAGAACACAGCCCAGCAGAUUGGGCUACUUAAUUGUAGCCUUGUGAGACCGUGAGCAAAGGGCCAGAGAUUAUUGCCUGGUGGGAAUCCUAUAUCCUUCAUGCACCUCUUCUCAAUCCUGCCUUCAGUGACGUCACAUUGGCGGCCUGAAAUAUGUCAUGGUGGGAGUAUUUUCACCAUAGAAAUUGGUAAAUGUUACUAACCAGAGCUGGACUUAUUGCUUUAUUAGUUGUGCAGACUUAAGGUGUUGGAGAAAAUGUCAAUGAUGUGGAUCACACUUUGAAGGGUGGCACACCUUUUAGUCAUUAUGAUGCUAAUAACUCAAACACUUGAGGAAGCCAGCUUUCAGUAUUCAAAAAUUACUAGCCUGCCCAGCAAAGAACUAGGUCAGGUCUUUGGCCAAUGAUAGCAAGUUCUGACCUACAUCGUCAUUAUUCCACUUUGUGUUUCUUCUAAAUGAAAGUAGC